This 204-nucleotide ribosomal RNA is filed under the name Paenibacillus etheri. Its description in RNAcentral is "partial 23S ribosomal RNA". It matches the Rfam family "Bacterial large subunit ribosomal RNA", at positions 2628 to 2838 of the family's 2925-position model. The record is from RNAcentral. Lineage: Bacteria; Bacillati; Bacillota; Bacilli; Caryophanales; Paenibacillaceae.
AGUUCGGUCCCUAUCUGUCGUGGGCGCAGGAAAUUUGAGAGGAGCUGUCCUUAGUACGAGAGGACCGGGAUGGACGUACCGCUGGUGCACCAGUUGUUCCGCCAGGAGCAUGGCUGGGUAGCUACGUACGGACGGGAUAAGCGCUGAAAGCAUCUAAGCGUGAAGCCCCCCUCAAGAUGAGAUUUCCCAAUUAGUAAGACCCCU